Molecule: ribosomal RNA, 301 nt
Filed under: uncultured bacterium
Lineage: Bacteria
Description: partial 16S ribosomal RNA
Rfam family: Bacterial small subunit ribosomal RNA
Source: RNAcentral
CAGCCGCCGCGGGAAUACGGAGGGGGCUAGCGUUGUUCGGAAUUACUGGGCGUAAAGCGUACGUAGGCGGCUUUGUAAGUUAGAGGUGAAAGCCUGGUGCUCAACACCAGAACUGCCUUUAAGACUGCAUCGCUUGAACGUCGGAGAGGUGAGUGGAAUUCCGAGUGUAGAGGUGAAAUUCGUAGAUAUUCGGAAGAACACCAGUGGCGAAGGCGGCUCACUGGACGACUGUUGACGCUGAGGUACGAAAGCGUGGGGAGCAAACAGGAUUAGAGACCCCAGUAGUCCCUGUCUCUUAUAC